RNAcentral lists this long non-coding RNA (287 nucleotides) under Elaeis guineensis (African oil palm). RNAcentral's name for it is "long non-coding RNA (EGUI_LNC052173)". Lineage: Eukaryota; Viridiplantae; Streptophyta; Magnoliopsida; Arecales; Arecaceae. The record is from RNAcentral.
GGGAGGUAUUGGUGUGACACCUCACACCAGCAAAGGGGAUGCCCAAGGAGGGCCCACGACUUGGAGAAGAGGGGCGGCAAGGAGGAGGACACGCCAUGGGGAGGGGCACCCACUAGCUCUCAUGCCUCUCUCUCUCUCUCUCUCUUUUUGCUUUGAUUGCUAUGCAUCCAUAGGUAGAGACCCUCUCUAUUUUUAUAGAUGAUUCUCAUAACCCAAUAAGAAUGAGACUCUUAAUACAAACAAGCUUUGAAUCAGUCCAUAACUUAUCAAAGAAGGACUCCUACAUU